This 253-nucleotide ribosomal RNA is filed under the name uncultured bacterium. Its description in RNAcentral is "partial 16S ribosomal RNA". It matches the Rfam family "Bacterial small subunit ribosomal RNA", at positions 524 to 776 of the family's 1533-position model. The record is from RNAcentral.
UACGGAGGGUGCUAGCGUUGUUCGGAAUUACUGGGCGUAAAGCGCACGUAGGCGGCUUAGUAAGUUGGGGGUGAAAUCCCGGGGCUCAACCUCGGAACUGCCUUCAAAACUCCUGGGCUUGAGUUCGAGAGAGGUGAGUGGAAUUCCGAGUGUAGAGGUGAAAUUCGUAGAUAUUCGGAGGAACACCAGUGGCGAAGGCGGCUCACUGGCUCGAUACUGACGCUGAGGUGCGAAAGCGUGGGGAGCAAACAGG